RNAcentral lists this long non-coding RNA (223 nucleotides) under Oryza sativa (Asian cultivated rice). RNAcentral describes it as "long non-coding RNA (OSAT_LNC001452)". Lineage: Eukaryota; Viridiplantae; Streptophyta; Magnoliopsida; Poales; Poaceae. The record is from RNAcentral.
CGGUCGUAGAUGGGCACGGUGAGGAGGAUGGAGCCGACGAAGAAGACGGUGAGGGAGCCCGCCGGGAUCUGGAAGGAGGCGCCGAUGUGGCGGUCCAUGGUGGUCGCCUGGGACACGGAGAAGGUGGUCAUCUGGGCGUACACCGUCCAGAACAUGAUCGUCGUCGCCCAGAUCGGCAGCAUCCUCGCCACCGUCUUCACCUCCUCCACGUCCGUCAGCGUCG